GCUGAGGCAACACGCUUUCGCCUUUUGUGGUUUGUGUGAUUUUCCUGAACUUUUGUAACGGACUCCCUUCGACAGUGGAUUACAACAGUGACUUGUGAUCUGAUAUGAAAAGGCUUCUACAAUUUUGCUGCGACUACUUACGAAGCAAGCUGAGCAGCCAGAGGGAAACUCAUGGCACACUGAAUCAUUGUGGACUCUGGCAGAGCAAGUCAGGUUCUUGUAUAUAACCGGAACGACAUCCUAGUCAAGUACAUCGUCCAGCUGCACGCAGCCAUGCAAUGUAAAUGGACGAUCGCAGCCGUCGUGACCCUUUGCCUCGUCCCCAGCCUAGCGUCCCCCUGGCCUGCCCCAGGGCCCGCUGCUGCGCCUUCCCCAGGGCCCGCCGCCUUGGCUCUCCCUCGCCCCAGCCCCGUCGCGGAUCCCAGCCCUGCGCCUGAGCCCUUUCUAGGAUUAUUCGGUGGGCGUGGACGGGGUCGUGGGCGGGGUCGUGGGCGGGGUCGCGGGCGAGGUCGUGGCCGAGGACGCGGAGGCCUUGGCUUUGGCCUCGGGAGACUUUUCGGUUGAGGUUGACAGGAUUUCGGACGCGCCUUCGUGCGCGGACGCGUAGCUAGAGGUUGACAAAACAGCAUUGUAUUUCAUGUUAAUAAAUCCAAAGUUACGUUUCC
Penaeus indicus is the source of this 665-nucleotide long non-coding RNA. RefSeq lists it as uncharacterized. The record is from RefSeq and is a predicted model, not a curated record. The transcript is spliced from 3 exons. NCBI's taxonomy places the organism in Eukaryota, Metazoa, Arthropoda, Malacostraca, Decapoda, Penaeidae.